RNAcentral lists this ribosomal RNA (253 nucleotides) under uncultured bacterium. RNAcentral describes it as "partial 16S ribosomal RNA". It matches the Rfam family "Bacterial small subunit ribosomal RNA", at positions 524 to 776 of the family's 1533-position model. The record is from RNAcentral.
GACAGAGGGUGCAAACGUUGUUCGGAUUUACUGGGCGUAAAGCGCGUGUAGGCGGCUUGGCAAGUCGGAUGUGAAAGCCCACGGCUCAACCGUGGAAGCGCAUCCGAAACUGCUUCGCUUGAGUCUCGGAGGGGAAGGUGGAAUGCUUGGUGUAGAGGUGAAAUUCGUAGAUAUCAAGCAGAACACCUGCGGCGAAGGCGGCCUUCUGGACGAUGACUGACGCUGAGACGCGAAAGCGUGGGGAGCAAACAGG